This 301-nucleotide ribosomal RNA is filed under the name uncultured bacterium. RNAcentral's name for it is "partial 16S ribosomal RNA". It matches the Rfam family "Bacterial small subunit ribosomal RNA", at positions 509 to 807 of the family's 1533-position model. The record is from RNAcentral.
CAGUCGCCGCGGUAAUACGAGGGGCGCAAGCGUUAUUCGGAUUGAUUGGGUGUAAAGGGUGUGCAGACGGCUUAUUAAGUCACUUGUUAAAUUCUUCGGCCUAACUGAAGGUCUGCAAGUGAUACUGAUGAGCUAGAGGGUGGAAGAGAGAAGUGGAAUUCUCGGAGUAGCGGUAAAAUGCGUAGAUCUCGAGAGGAACACCAAUGGCGAAGGCAGCUUCUUGGUCCAUUCCUGACGUUCAUACACGAAAGCGUGGGGAGCAAACAGGAUUAGAUACCCCAGUAGUCCCUGUCUCUUAUAC